Long non-coding RNA from Leopardus geoffroyi (Geoffroy's cat), 2117 nucleotides. RefSeq lists it as uncharacterized. The transcript has 2 exons. The record is from RefSeq and is a predicted model, not a curated record. NCBI's taxonomy places the organism in Eukaryota, Metazoa, Chordata, Mammalia, Carnivora, Felidae.
GUCCCACACCUGAAAACAGGAAGCAAGGGGAAGAUCCUGUUGAGAGGGUUGAGCCGUUACCCCGGUCGCGUGCCUGGGACAGCAGGCCCAGGAUGGGCGGGAGGAAGGCAGCUAAGGUUCACUAGCCGUGGGCGUGGCCCACGAGGGGAAGUGCUCUGUUGUUCUAGUAAAGGCUCCUUUCAGGUCUGCGGGGCGCGGAGGGGAGCUGAGCGCGGAGGACCACGGUUUGUGGAGUGCUCGUUACAAGACAGGGCCCCUGGUUGUCACAAGCACACCAGCCAGGGAGGUAUUACUGCCCCACUUUACAGAUGAGAAGGCUGAGCCGCAGGGAGGCCAGGAAGCUUGCCCAAGACCGAUCACGAAGUCAUUUACGCUGAGCAGACAGGAGGUAUGCCAGGAGCCACCCUCCUGGGACAGCCACUCCCGUUCUCCCUCCUCCAGCCAUGGCCCUCCCCGAGGUGGUGCCUCCGGAACGAGGCACCGGGAGGACAGCUGGUCCAGGUGGGGCCCCUGCCCUGCCUGGGCGCAGGGCACAGGGCACAGGGCACAGUGAGGACACCGCCUCCUGUGGAGUGGGGGCCUCUUACCGAACUUACCGCACGCAGGGCCCUGACCACGUCGGAUCUUUGUAACAAGUGAGUGCGGCGGGUGCCGUUACAAACUUCCCUCACCACCGUGAAAAGGAAGCUAAAGUGACCCCCCCCUUGGGGCCUGCGCUCCCCCUUCGGGCGCGGCCAUCAGGCCUGCAGUGCUGCCUCUCUGAGGAGGCAGGAGCCAGUCACAACAGCGCCCUCCCAAUGUCUGUGUCCUCGAGAAGCUCUCUCUUGGGUGCCCAGGCCCGGGCCGGGGAGGGAGCACCGUCCAUCAGCCACUUUGGGAUUCACCCGGAGCACUGCCCCUGCCCCACUCUCCUCCCUCCUUAGGUCACUUCUGUGGGAUGAACAGUGAUGGCGAAGGUACCCAGUGGGCAGCUGUGCCCGCCCAACAAGUGUGGUUCUUAGCCGGUCACCGGGCACAGCACCGAGACCUGUCUGCUGGCUCCUUCGCUGGGGCAGCCGCACUGGCCAGAGCCUCCCUGGCUUCCUGGUGGGUAACGUGGGGUCGCCGUGUGUCAGGGGUCGUGGCCCAGAGCCCGGCACCCAGCACGGCUCCAACAGGGUGCCCACUGCUCUCAGCCCUGCGGUCACCGUCCGCUUCUCCCAGGAACUGAAAAUCGGCUCAAGCUCCGGACAGACCGGUGGACUUGGGUCCCAGCCACAGCUCAGGGGAGGGAAGUACUCGGAUGUCCCUCUUUCAGAAGCAUAAGACCCUCCCAGGGCGUGCUGGCAGCUUUUAAAGCUUUCAAGGGACCCCCUUCGGGAAGAACCUGACACAGUAAAGCAGGUCUGAGGCUGGGGCCCAAGGAAAAGAAAAGCAGCCACUUUUUCUCCCGCUCUGUCUUUAAAUCUCCUUUUCUCAGAAAGUUUAUGCUAACUGAACCUUAUCAGGAGCCCAAGCUACUUUGCUGGCUUUCAAGUGAUGGAAAAGACACGGGGUUUUCAAAGUCAGACAAUCUGGAUUUAAAGACAGGUCUGUGGCUGCUGCGUGACUACAGGAUGGCGAGGAGAUCAAAGGAACGAAAUCAAUCUGUGGACGAUGAAGCCCCAGGCAAACGUGAGCAGCCACGAUUUGCUGCGAAGAAAUGCUCAACUGCAGAAAGCAGAACCUCGGGGAAGGCGUGUGUGUGAAUCCCCUCCCUCCAUUCUAGCGGUCUCUGUGUCCCUGUGUCAUGCCAUCACGAGCCACUUGUCACCUUUUGGGAAGGAGGCAAAGUACAAAAACGAAGGAGACAGCUCCAGGGAGAGACAUGUGGGGGCAAGGGUCACGUGCAGGUGGCCUUCUCAGGCCACCUCAGAGGCGAGGCCCAGCAGCCCCGAAGGCCGCUCUCCCCCGGCCUCCGUUACGCAGCCGGCACGGUGCGCCCUGGACAGAGGGGAGUCUGCUCCCCAAAAUGCCCCCUGGAAUCCUCCGGUUUUAUACCUUCAGCCUCAGAGCGGAAGCCUGAGUUUUGUUCCCUACAGAAUUUUUAGAAACAGAACAGCUUUUUGAAACUUUUCCUCCCUACCUACCAGUUUACC